AAUUAUAUUCUCUUCGGAGUUGAGCUGGGUUUGAUUUAUACAAACUUUAUGAGCUUUUCAUGAAAUUUUCAGCAAGUAAAAAAAAGGGGUUUGUUCAUGAGCUGGGGUCCAUAAGUGGCAGAUCCAUAUGAACUCACUCGCCACACAACAUCAUCAUUCAUCUCUUUUUGCUAAAACCUGGUGAAACCCUAAAAGAAGGAAAUUAGAAUCAGAUUAAACAAAGUUCAAA
Molecule: long non-coding RNA, 229 nt
Organism: Cucurbita moschata (crookneck pumpkin)
Lineage: Eukaryota; Viridiplantae; Streptophyta; Magnoliopsida; Cucurbitales; Cucurbitaceae
Exons: 2
Source: RefSeq, a predicted model, not a curated record